GAUGAAGAACGUAGCAAAAUGCGAUACUUGGUGUGAAUUGCAGAAUCCCGUGAACCAUCGAGUUUUUGAACGCAAGUUGCGCCCGAAGCCUUUUGGCCGAGGGCACGUCUGCCUGGGCGUCACGCAUCGCGUCGCCCCCCACAAUUCUCCGUAAAGGGAACAUGUGUUUUGGGGGCGGAUAUUGGUCUCCCGUGCUCAUGGCGUGGUUGGCCGAAAUAGGAGUCCUUUCGAUGGACGCACGAACUAGUGGUGGUCGUAAAAACCCUCGUCUUUUGUUUCGUGCUGUUGCUCGCAAGGUAAACUCUUUAAAAACCCCAAUGUGUCGUCUCUUGACGACGCUUCGACCGCGACCCCAGGUCAGGCGGGACUACCCGCUGAGUUUAAGCAUAUCAAUGAGCGGAGGA
RNAcentral lists this unclassified non-coding RNA (404 nucleotides) under soil metagenome. Its description in RNAcentral is "partial contains 5.8S ribosomal RNA, internal transcribed spacer 2, and large subunit ribosomal RNA". The stretch from base 1 to 122 matches the Rfam family "5.8S ribosomal RNA", at positions 35 to 154 of the family's 154-position model. The record is from RNAcentral.